ACUCCUACGGGAGGCAGCAGUGGGGAAUAUUGCACAAUGGGCGCAAGCCUGAUGCAGCAACGCCGCGUGAGUGAUGAAGGCCUUCGGGUCGUAAAGCUCUGUCCUCAAGGAAGAAUAAAUGACGGUACUUGAGGAGGAAGCCCGGGCUAACUACGUGCCAGCAGCCGCGGUAAUACGUAGGGGGCAAGCGUUAUCCGGAAUCACUGGGGCGUAAAGGGGUGCGUAGGCGGUUUUUCAAGUCAGAAGUGAAAGGCUAUGGCUCAACCAUAGUAAGCUUUUGAAACUGUUAAACUUGAGUGCAGGAGAGGAAAGUGGAAUUCCUAGUGUAGAGGUGAAAUUCGUAGAUAUUAGGAGGAACACCAGUGGCGAAGGCGACUUUCUGGACUGUAACUGACGCUGAGGCACGAAAGCGUGGGGAGCGAACAGGAUUAGAUACCCUGG
RNAcentral lists this ribosomal RNA (441 nucleotides) under uncultured bacterium. Its description in RNAcentral is "bacterial SSU rRNA". It matches the Rfam family "Bacterial small subunit ribosomal RNA", at positions 335 to 790 of the family's 1533-position model. The record is from RNAcentral.